CAGAGUUGGGGGACGGAGCGGACGACGUGUAAAGAGCGUCGGAGCUGCGACUCGCCUGAAAGGGAGCGAAGCUGGCCGAGCGAACUAGACUUUUUUUCAGGGACGCUUGGCGGCCGAGAGCGAGUGUUGCGAGACAACAAAAAGCUCGACCUCAAAUCAGGUAGGAAUACCCGCUGAACUUAAGCAUAUCAAUAAGCCGGAGGAAAAGAAACCAACAGGAUUGCCUCAGUAGCGGCGAGUGAAGCGGCAAGAGCUCAGAUUUGAAAUCGUGCUUUGCGGCACGAGUUGUAGAUUGCAGGUUGGAGUCUGUGUGGAAGGCGGUGUCCAAGUCCCUUGGAACAGGGCGCCCAGGAGGGUGAGAGCCCCGUGGGAUGCCGGCGGAAGCAGUGAGGCCCUUCUGACGAGUCGAGUUGUUUGGGAAUGCAGCUCCAAGCGGGUGGUAAAUUCCAUCUAAGGCUAAAUACUGGCGAGAGACCGAUAGCGAACAAGUACUGUGAAGGAAAGAUGAAAAGCACUUUGAAAAGAGAGUGAAACAGCACGUGAAAUUGUUGAAAGGGAAGGGUAUUGCGCCCGACAUGGGGAUUGCGCACCGCUGCCUCUCGUGGGCGGCGCUCUGGGCUUUCCCUGGGCCAGCAUCGGUUCUUGCUGCAGGAGAAGGGGUUCUGGAACGUGGCUCUUCGGAGUGUUAUAGCCAGGGCCAGAUGCUGCGUGCGGGGACCGAGGACUGCGGCCGUGUAGGUCACGGAUGCUGGCAGAACGGCGCAACACCGCCCGUCUUGAAACAUGGACCAAGGAGUCUAACGUCUAUGCGAGUGUUUGGGUGUGAAACCCGUACGCGUAAUGAAAGUGAACGUAGGUCGGACCCCUGCCCUCGG
This 875-nucleotide ribosomal RNA is filed under the name Pichia kudriavzevii. Its description in RNAcentral is "LSU rRNA". The stretch from base 147 to 875 matches the Rfam family "Eukaryotic large subunit ribosomal RNA", at positions 1 to 753 of the family's 3401-position model. Lineage: Eukaryota; Fungi; Ascomycota; Pichiomycetes; Pichiales; Pichiaceae. The record is from RNAcentral.